Molecule: ribosomal RNA, 734 nt
Filed under: Lactiplantibacillus plantarum
Lineage: Bacteria; Bacillati; Bacillota; Bacilli; Lactobacillales; Lactobacillaceae
Description: Lactobacillus plantarum partial 16S rRNA
Rfam family: Bacterial small subunit ribosomal RNA
Source: RNAcentral
UGCAGUCNNNNAACUCUGGUUUGAUUGGUGCUUGNUCUGAUUUACAUUUGAGUGAGUGGCGAACUGGUGAGUAACACGUGGGAAACCUGCCCAUAAGCGGGGGAUAACACCNGGAAACAGAUGCUAAUACCGCAUAACAACUUGGACCGCAUGGUCCGAGCUUGAAAGAUGGCUUCGGCUAUCACUUUUGGAUGGUCCCGCGGCGUAUUANCUAGAUGGUGGGGUAACGGCUCACCAUGGCAAUGAUACCUANCCCAACUGANAGGGUAAUCCGCCACCUUGGGACUGAAACACGGCCCAAACUCCUACCGGAGGCAGCAGUAGGGAAUCUUCCACAAUGGACGAAAGUCUGAUGGAACAACCCCCCCUGAGUGAAAAAGGGUUUCCGCUCCUAAAACUCUGUUGUUAAANAAAAACAUAUCUGAAAAUAACUGUUCANGUAUUGACGGUAUUUAACCAGAAAGCCACGGCUAACUACCUGCCAGCAGCCGCGGUAAUACNUANGUGGCAAGCGUUGUCCGGAUUUNUUGGGCGUAAAGCGAGCGCANGCGGUUUUUUAAGUCUGAUGUNAAAGCCUUCCGCUCNACCCAAGAAGUGCAUCCGAAACUGGGAAACUUGANUGCANAANAAGACAGUGGAACUCCNUGUGUAGCGGUGAAAUGCNUANAUAUAUGGAAGAANACCAGUGGCGAANGNCGCUGUCUGGUCUGUAACUGANNCUNAAGCUCNAAGUA